Molecule: ribosomal RNA, 824 nt
Filed under: uncultured archaeon
Lineage: Archaea
Description: bacterial SSU rRNA
Rfam family: Archaeal small subunit ribosomal RNA
Source: RNAcentral
ACUGCUCAGUAACACGUAGCUAACCUACCCUUGGGAUGGGGAUACCCCCGGGAAACUGGGGACAAUCCCUGAUAGGCGUGGAUUCCUGGAAUGGUUCCACACCCAAAUGUUGUGCACCCAUGUUGUGCACAGACGCCCAAGGAUGGGGCUGCGGCCGAUCAGGCAGUUGGUGGGGUAACGGCCCACCAAACCUUUGACCGGUACGGGCCAUGAGAGUGGUAGCCCGGAGAUGGACACUGAGACAAGGGUCCAGGCCCUACGGGGCGCAGCAGGUGCGAAACCUCCACAAUUCACGCAAGUGAGAUGGGGUUACCUCGAGUGCCACCUGAAGAAGGUGGCUUUUCCAUUGUGUAAUAAGCCGUGGGAAUAAGGGGGGGGCAAGACUGGUGUCAGCCGCCGCGGUAACACCAGCCCCUCGAGUGGUGGGGACGUUUACUUGGCCUAAAGCGUCCGUAGCCGGCUCGGUAAAUCUUUCGUUAAAUCCAGCGUCUCAAGCGUUGGGCUGCGAGAGACACUGCCGGGCUAGAGGGUGGGAAAGGUCAGCGGUAUUCCUGGGGUAGGGGCGAAAUCCAUUGAUCCCAGGAGGACCACCAGUGGCGAAGGCUGCUGACUAGAACACGCCUGACGGUGAGGGACGAAAGCUGGGGUAGCGAAUCGGAUUAGAUACCCGAGUAGUCCCAGCCGUAAACGAUGCAGGCUAGGUGUUGGGCCGGCCAUGUGCCGGCUCAGUGCCACAGGGAAGCCAUUAAGCCCUGCCGCCUGGGGGAGUACGGCCGCAAGGGCUGAAACUUUAAAGGAAUUGGCGGGGGGAGCACCCACCAGGG